Molecule: long non-coding RNA, 654 nt
Organism: Tarenaya hassleriana
Lineage: Eukaryota; Viridiplantae; Streptophyta; Magnoliopsida; Brassicales; Cleomaceae
Exons: 3
Source: RefSeq, a predicted model, not a curated record
UGUGCGGCUUCUCGACUCUUCCACUGGGGCUGACUCGUUUGUUUCGCCCCCACCAACCUUCGACGCCUAUAUCAGACCUUUCUCGUGUUCUUCAAACUUAAGCUUUCGGGUUUUCCAAAUCUGCACUGCGAUUCUCUCGUUUUCCCAGCGAACGCGGAAACCAGAGGGAGCGUGAUCGUGAAAGAGCUCAAGCUAGAAACAAUCACAAAUCUAAGCAGCCUAAGAGUGAUGGAUUAACUCCCGAGCAACGUCGUGAACGGGACGCCAAAGCAUUGCAGGAGAAGGCGGCGAGAAAGGCGGCGGCUCGGGGUAACAGUGGCGGCGGCGGCGGCGGUGGAGGUAAAAUCAAGAAACGAAAUGACUGAGAUAUAAACUAUAAACUGUUGGUGAUAACACAUUAGGGGUGAUGGGAAGAAGAUUGAGGAGGGGUAGAUAUUAUUAAUUGGUUAAUGUUGGAAGCACUUCUGUCUCAUCAGGGGAUGUCUAAUUGCAUCGAGUAGUCAUGUAUGUUGCUUGUCACGUUCUAAGAGACCGUGUGAAUCUUGUCUUUGUCAUUUGACGUUGUGGCUUCUUGACUGCUUGGUUCUGUGUCUGAUUCGAGAUGGAAUGGAACCCUUUUCUCUCUCUCGCUGCGUCUCACACGUGUUCUGUGUA